Molecule: ribosomal RNA, 460 nt
Filed under: uncultured bacterium
Lineage: Bacteria
Description: partial 16S ribosomal RNA
Rfam family: Bacterial small subunit ribosomal RNA
Source: RNAcentral
CCUACGGGAGGCUGCAGUGCGGAAUAUUCGUCAAUGGGCGCGAGCCUGAACCAGCCAAGUAGCGUGAAGGAUGACUGCCCUCCGGGUUGUAAACUUCUUUUAUAAAGGAAUAAAGUCAUGCACGUGUGCCUUUUUGUCUGUACUUUAUGUAUAAGGAUCGGCUCACUCCGUGCCAGCGGCCGCGGUACUACGGAGGAUCCGAGCGUUAUCCGGAUUUAUUGGGUUUAACGGGAGCGUAGAUGGGUUGUUAAGUCAGUUGUGAAAGUUUGCGGCUCAACCGUAAAAUUGCAAUUGAUACUGGCAGCCUUGAGUACAGAUGAGGUAGGCGGAAUUCGUGGUGUAGCGGUGAAAUGCUUAGAUAUCACGAAGAACUCCGAUUGCGAAGGCAGCCUACUAAACUGCCACUGACAUUGAUGCUCGAAAGUGUGGGUAUCAAACAGGAUUAGAUACCCCUGUAGUC